Molecule: ribosomal RNA, 487 nt
Filed under: Staphylococcus pseudintermedius
Lineage: Bacteria; Bacillati; Bacillota; Bacilli; Caryophanales; Staphylococcaceae
Description: partial 23S ribosomal RNA
Rfam family: Bacterial large subunit ribosomal RNA
Source: RNAcentral
UUGACUGCGAGACCUACAAGUCGAGCAGGGUCGAAAGACGGACUUAGUGAUCCGGUGGUUCCGCAUGGAAGGGCCAUCGCUCAACGGAUAAAAGCUACCCCGGGGAUAACAGGCUUAUCUCCCCCAAGAGUUCACAUCGACGGGGAGGUUUGGCACCUCGAUGUCGGCUCAUCGCAUCCUGGGGCUGUAGUCGGUCCCAAGGGUUGGGCUGUUCGCCCAUUAAAGCGGUACGCGAGCUGGGUUCAGAACGUCGUGAGACAGUUCGGUCCCUAUCCGUCGUGGGCGUAGGAAAUUUGAGAGGAGCUGUCCUUAGUACGAGAGGACCGGGAUGGACAUACCUCUGGUGUACCAGUUGUCGUGCCAACGGCAUAGCUGGGUAGCUAUGUAUGGACGGGAUAAGUGCUGAAAGCAUCUAAGCAUGAAGCCCCCCUCGAGAUGAGAUUUCCCAACUUCGGUUAUAAGAUCCCUCAAAGAUGAUGAGGUGAAU